UUCUGCAGCCUUUGAGUCUGAAACAUCGUCCAGCAAACCCUCACCGAGAACCGAUAGCUGAACUAACGUGAGGCCUUUCUGUGGCGAGAUGCUGACAUUUCACACAGGUCUGGAACAAAGUAGCUACAUAAAAGCAGUGUUUGACGUGGGCUUCAUUGUGGUUCAUUUGAAAGAUGACCCACAUGUAGACCUACCAUUUACAAGAUCCUAAACUAGCUCAACUUUGAAAAUAAACUGAGAUUGAUGCAAAAGUUUAGACCAAACAUUAACCUUCAAUAACCCUUGGUGGGGUGUAACCGGUGUAACUAGGACUGAACGUGAUGAAACAUGACGCUCAGCCAACAAACUGAACUCAAAUAACGUGACUGAGUAUUAGUUUAGUUAAUUUAGUGGACACUCCUCCAUCGUGGCAAGAACAUAGGAUCAUCUCCCGGUUCAUGGAGCCCAGAAGGCAGGAGACGAGUCAAGGUGGCAUCCCGGCUGUUAGCAUAGCCGGCUAAAGAUUAAAGUUGGCAAGCUGCAAAGGCCAUCAGCUAGAGGUCUAAGAAACAGUGGGAUGUGAUUGAGGCAUUCCUCGUGCAAUGUUCUGCAGUAGACUCCAAAGCACUGCUGCGGAUGAUUAUCUACGCGACAGAAAACGGGCUUGGCAUCGCGAGGCAAGGAGGAGAGAGAGUUCUUUGGUGGCUUGGCGCGCUUUUCCAUUGGAAACUACACUGAGCGACCUCGCGUGAAGGCGGGGUGCAGCCGAGGUCUGUCACCGAGCCUCGACACCACCACCACGCAUACUAUCGGCGUGCACAAUUUUUUUUUGGAAUCAACACAGUCUCUCUCUCUCGUGUAUUCCACCUCAAUUGUCUCACACACAUCAAAGGCGCUAUAGAGUGAUAUCUCCGUACUCCUUCUGCACCUUAAAGCCAUCCUACUGUAUGUGUUGGUAUUAGCUUUGUGAAGCACGUGCACACCCGCGGCACGCAUGCUCGGGAAACAUGGAGCCAAUGAAAUCCCAUUCUGUGACUACCAUGUCGCCACUACCUGGCAGCGGGAAGGCCCGCCUUUUAAGCCGCCUGCAACCUGGUGGUUUAUGAAAAUGCUUUACUAGAGGUUUAUUAGCGCUGCGCAAACUGAACAGUUUGUCCUGUCCCCUUUUAAAGUUUAGCUUUAGCUAAUAGCUUCAGACAUUAAGAUCAUUUAAGGGAUUCUGUUAUUCUGUUACAUCCCAAAUAAUGGCCUCGGUUUGAUAAGAUUUUGUUUAAGGAAGGGGAUUACACCUGGACACUGCUAAGGUUUCAUCAUAGUCAAAUUAAUGAGUUUCAUCAAUGAUAAAACAAUACCUUGAUUCUGAGCAUGCAGAUGCAAGAUAUGCUAAAUACGAAAUCAGACACCAUUUCAUUAAUUUCGGUUUGGGUACAUUCAACUAGCUUCUUUAAUGAAUAUGCCAAUUUGUAUUAACAUUUCUUUUGUUGUUACGGGACCCAGGAAAGUCUAUGUAAGAUAUGCUGCCAGUGAUUAGACUUUAUAACCGCAAGUAGAAGAUGAUGAACAGCUUGUAUUUGUGUCAUUUAAAUGUGCAUUAAGUCAAUUAUUGUUUUUGUUUUUUAUUGUUUUUAUAACAGCCAGUUCCUUAGAUUGUAGCUUGUCUACCAAUUUAGAGAUAAAAAUGAUUGAUAACCGAAGAUCAUAGGUUUGAAUCCCGUCUGUGCUUUGCUGAAGGAAAACAGAAUUUUUUACAGACUGUGGAUAAUGGAAAAUGAGUCGUCCACCAGGCUUUAAAACAAGUAAAGAUUUGGAUGUUGUGUUAAAGGCUACAGCUAUUUAGUGUCUAGCAGAACAUUUUACUGUUAGAAAGAUCCUUCUCCAUAAUAAAAUCUCAGUCAAGAUUCUUCCCAGCGGAAUACAUUGUGUCAUUCUGUGUGUGUGUGUGUGUGUGUGUGUGUGUGUGUGUGUGUGUGUGUGUGUGUGUGUGUGUGUGUGUGUGUGUGUGUGUGUGUGUGUGUGUGUGUGUGUGUGUGUGUGUGUGUGUGUGUGAGAGUGUGCUUGUGAG
Molecule: long non-coding RNA, 2041 nt
Organism: Gadus macrocephalus (Pacific cod)
Lineage: Eukaryota; Metazoa; Chordata; Actinopteri; Gadiformes; Gadidae
Exons: 3
Source: RefSeq, a predicted model, not a curated record